GAUGAACGCUGGCGGUGUGCCUAAUACAUGCAAGUCGAGCGAACAGACGAGGAGCUUACUCCUCUGACGUUAGCGGCGGACGGGUGAGUAACACGUGGAUAACCUACCUAUAAGACUGGGAUAACUUCGGGAAACCGGAGCUAAUACCGGAUAACAUGUUGAACCGCAUGGUUCAACAGUGAAAGACGGUCUUGCUGUCACCUAUAGAUGGAUCCGCGUCGCAUUAGCUAGUUGGUAAGGUAACGGCUUACCAAGGCAACGAUGCGUAGCCGACCUGAGAGGGUGAUCGGCCACACUGGAACUGAGACACGGUCCAGACUCCUACGGGAGGCAGCAGUAGGGAAUCUUCCGCAAUGGGCGAAAGCCUGACGGAGCAACGCCGCGUGAGUGAAGAAGGUCUUCGGAUCGUAAAACUCUGUUAUUAGGGAAGAACAAAUGUGUAAGUAACUAUGCACGUCUUGACGGUACCUAAUCAGAAAGCCACGGCUAACUACGUG
RNAcentral lists this ribosomal RNA (497 nucleotides) under uncultured bacterium. RNAcentral's name for it is "partial 16S ribosomal RNA". It matches the Rfam family "Bacterial small subunit ribosomal RNA", at positions 28 to 507 of the family's 1533-position model. The record is from RNAcentral.